This 429-nucleotide ribosomal RNA is filed under the name Chloroflexota bacterium. Its description in RNAcentral is "Chloroflexi bacterium partial 16S ribosomal RNA". It matches the Rfam family "Bacterial small subunit ribosomal RNA", at positions 355 to 776 of the family's 1533-position model. Lineage: Bacteria; Bacillati; Chloroflexota. The record is from RNAcentral.
UGGGGAAUAUUGCACAAUGGGCGCAAGCCUGAUGCAGCCAUGCCGCGUGUAUGAAGAAGGCCUUCGGGUUGUAAAGUACUUUCAGCGGGGAGGAAUGGAGUAAAGUUAAUACCUUUGCUCAUUGACGUUACCCGCAGAAGAAGCACCGGCUAACUCCGUGCCAGCAGCCGCGGUAAUACGGAGGGUGCAAGCGUUAAUCGGAAUUACUGGGCGUAAAGCGCACGCAGGCGGUUUGUUAAGUCAGAUGUGAAAUCCCCGGGCUCAACCUGGGAACUGCAUCUGAUACUGGAAAGCUUGAGUCUCGUAGAGGGGGGUAGAAUUCCAGGUGUGGCGGUGAAAUGCGUAGAGAUCUGGAGGAAUACCGGUGGCGAAGGCGGCCCCAUGGACGAAGACUGACGCUCAGGUGCGAAAGCGUGGGGAGCAAACAGG